Molecule: ribosomal RNA, 505 nt
Filed under: iceman fungal clone 'Sim C-a2'
Lineage: Eukaryota; Fungi; Ascomycota
Description: SSU rRNA
Rfam family: Eukaryotic small subunit ribosomal RNA
Source: RNAcentral
GUAUAUUAAAGUUGUUGCAGUUAAAAAGCUCGUAGUUGAACCUUGGGUCUGGCUGGCAGGUCCGCCUCACCGCGUGUACUUGUCCGGCCGGGCCUUCCUUCUGGAGAACCUCAUGUCUUUUAUUAGGCGUGUUGGGGACCAGAACUUUUACUUUGAAAAAAUUAGAGUGUUCAAAGCAGGCCUUUGCUCGAAUACGUUAGCAUGGAAUAAUAGAAUAGGACGUGCGGUCCUAUUUUGUUGGUUUCUAGGACCGCCGUAAUGAUUAAUAGGGACAGUCGGGGGCAUCAGUAUUCAAUUGUCAGAGGUGAAAUUCUUGGAUUUAUUGAAGACUAACUACUGCGAAAGCAUUUGCCAAGGAUGUUUUCAUUAAUCAGUGAACGAAAGUUAGGGGAUCGAAGACGAUCAGAUACCGUCGUAGUCUUAACCGUAAACUAUGCCGACUAGGGAUCGGGCGAUGUUCUUUUUCUGACUCGCUCGGCACCUUACGAGAAAUCAAAGUUUUUGG